Molecule: long non-coding RNA, 452 nt
Filed under: Linum usitatissimum (flax)
Lineage: Eukaryota; Viridiplantae; Streptophyta; Magnoliopsida; Malpighiales; Linaceae
Description: long non-coding RNA (LUSI_LNC006979)
Source: RNAcentral
CGGCCCUCCAGCCAUUGUUCUGAUGCUGGCUGCUCAUGGAGUUGGCAGCACUGAAAUUGUUGCUCCAGCCACCUUGGUGGCCUCCCAUGGCUUGUGGAGGGUAUUUUGAAGGUGGCUUGAGCUGCAAGCUACCACCGCCAUGGAAUUGUUCCUCAGCAUGCCAUGAUUCCUCCUCAUCAGAUGAGUAGCUUUCUUCAUGGAAGUUGUUGCUUCCAUAGCCUCCUCUCAUGGGGAAGGCUUGCUGCUGGCUGUAGCUUGGUUUGUCUGAUAUCAUAAAUUGUGUUUGGUUGGUUUUGAGGAUGUGUGGAGUGCAAGUUCUGCAAAUGGGAGAUUACCCUUUUAUAGGUUUCAAAAAGUUGUGUGAUGUGACGAUAAGAGGGGAUCUCAUUCCCCUUCAGGUAGAAAUUUUCAUUGUGGAAAGGAGAACACUUUUGGAUACCUCUCUUUCCUUA